GCAAAGUCGAGCGGGCAUCCUUGUGGUGUCAGCGGCAGACGGGUGAGUAACGCGUGGGAACGUGCCCUUCGGUUCGGAAUAACUCAGGGAAACUUGAGCUAAUACCGGAUACGUGCGAGAGCAGAAAGGUUUACUGCCGAAGGAUCGGCCCGCGUCUGAUUAGCUAGUUGGUGAGGUUAUGGCUCACCAAGGCGACGAUCAGUAGCUGGUCUGAGAGGAUGAUCAGCCACACUGGGACUGAGACACGGCCCAGACUCCUACGGGAGGCAGCAGUGGGGAAUAUUGGACAAUGGGGGCAACCCUGAUCCAGCCAUGCCGCGUGAGUGAUGACGGCCUUAGGGUUGUAAAGCUCUUUUCUCCGGGACGAUAAUGACGGUACCGGAGGAAUAAGCCCCGGCUAACUUCGUGCCAGCAGCCGCGGUAAUACGAAGGGGGCUAGCGUUGCUCGGAAUCACUGGGCGUAAAGGGCGCGUAGGCGGCUGAUUUAGUCGAGGGUGAAAGCCCGUGGCUCAACCACGGAAUGGCCUUCGAUACUGAUUGGCUUGAGACCGGAAGAGGACAGCGGAACUGCGAGUGUAGAGGUGAAAUUCGUAGAUAUUCGCAAGAACACCAGUGGCGGAGGCGGCUGUCUGGUCCGGUUCUGACGCUGAGGCNCGAAAGCGUGGGGAGCANACAGGAUUAUAUACCCUGGUCUUCCCGCUGUAAACGAUGAAUGAUCGCCGCUGGGGUGCAUGUGCCUC
RNAcentral lists this ribosomal RNA (740 nucleotides) under Methylobacterium sp. HPCKc-31. RNAcentral's name for it is "bacterial SSU rRNA". It matches the Rfam family "Bacterial small subunit ribosomal RNA", at positions 57 to 841 of the family's 1533-position model. Lineage: Bacteria; Pseudomonadati; Pseudomonadota; Alphaproteobacteria; Hyphomicrobiales; Methylobacteriaceae. The record is from RNAcentral.